Molecule: ribosomal RNA, 554 nt
Filed under: uncultured cyanobacterium
Lineage: Bacteria; Bacillati; Cyanobacteriota
Description: bacterial SSU rRNA
Rfam family: Bacterial small subunit ribosomal RNA
Source: RNAcentral
UCUGAUUAGCUAGUUGGUAGGGUAAAAGCCUACCAAGGCAUCGAUCAGUAACUGGUCUGAGAGGAUGACCAGUCACACUGGGACUGAGACACGGCCCAGACUCCUACGGGAGGCAGCAGUGGGGAAUUUUCCGCAAUGGGCGAAAGCCUGACGGAGCAAUACCGCGUGAGGGAGGAAGGCUCUUGGGUUGUAAACCUCUUUUCUCAGGGAAGAACAAAAUGACGGUACCUGAGGAAUCAGCAUCGGCUAACUCCGUGCCAGCAGCCGCGGUAAUACGGAGGAUGCAAGCGUUAUCCGGAAUGAUUGGGCGUAAAGCGUCCGCAGGUGGCUGCUUCAAGUCUGCUGUCAAAGCUCAGGGCUUAACCCUGAAUCGGCGGUGGAAACUGAACAGCUAGAAUGCGGUAGGGGUAGAGGGAAUUCCCAGUGUAGCGGUGAAAUGCGUAGAGAUUGGGAAGAACACCAGUGGCGAAAGCGCUCUGCUGGACCGCAACUGACACUCAUGGACGAAAGCUAGGGGAGCGAAUGGGAUUAGAUACCCCAGUAGUCCUAGCCGU